UAUAUACUCCCUCCGUCCGAAAAUACUACUUGUCAAAGGAAUGGAUGUACCUAGAUUUACUUUAGUUCUAGAUACAUCCAUUCUUAUCUAUUUUUGCGACAAGUAAUUUCGGACGGAGGGAGUAUAUA
Hordeum vulgare subsp. vulgare (domesticated barley) is the source of this 128-nucleotide non-coding RNA. The record is from Rfam. Lineage: Eukaryota; Viridiplantae; Streptophyta; Magnoliopsida; Poales; Poaceae.